GAUGAACGCUAGCGGCAGGCCUAACACAUGCAAGUCGAGGGGGAAGUUACUUUCGGGUGCCUGAGACCGGCGUACGGGUGCGUAACGCGUAUACAAUCUGCCUUUCACUGGGGGAUAGCCCGAAGAAAUUUGGAUUAAUACCCCAUAGUAUAUAGGGACGGCAUCGUUUUUAUAUUAAAGCUUAGGUGGUGAAAGAUGAGUAUGCGUUCGAUUAGCUAGUUGGAGGGGUAACGGCUCCCCAAGGCGAUGAUAGAUAGGGGUUCUGAGAGGGAUGUCCCCCGCACUGGUACUGAGAUACGGACCAGACGCCUACGGGAGGCAGCAGUGAGGAAUAUUGGACAAUGGUCGGAAGACUGAUCCAGCCAUGCCGCGUGCAGGAUGAAGGGCUUAUGGAUUGUAAACUGCUUUUGUAAGGGAAGAAUAAGGGCUACGCGUAGUUUGAUGACGGUACCUUACGAAUAAGCAUCGGCUAACUCCGUGC
Molecule: ribosomal RNA, 481 nt
Filed under: uncultured bacterium
Lineage: Bacteria
Description: partial 16S ribosomal RNA
Rfam family: Bacterial small subunit ribosomal RNA
Source: RNAcentral